UCAACUCAACUAACCAUUCUCUAUCGUCGCCUAAGAUGAGCUCUUCUACUUCAGGUAAACCUUCCUCUCUUACUCAUUCUUUAUCUUAUCAAAGAUUAUCACCCACAUUUCAUGCUUUCACCACUUCAAUCUCUAGUCACACUGAACCAACUACCUAUGAUGAGGCAGUUAAGGACCCUAACUGGCUUGAUGCAAUGGAAACUGAACUCUCUGCCCUUG
RNAcentral lists this long non-coding RNA (219 nucleotides) under Olea europaea (common olive). RNAcentral's name for it is "long non-coding RNA (OEUR_LNC012845)". The record is from RNAcentral. Lineage: Eukaryota; Viridiplantae; Streptophyta; Magnoliopsida; Lamiales; Oleaceae.